UGGUCAAGUUAUUAAGGGUGCAGGGCGGAUGCCUUGGCACUAGGAGCCGAUGAAGGACGUGAUAAGCUGCGAUAAGCUUCGGGGAGUUGCACGUAAACUUUGAUCCGAAGAUUUCCGAAUGAGGAAACUCACUUAGAGUAAUGUCUAAGUAUCAUUAAGUGAAUACAUAGCUUAAUGAGGGGAACUCAGGGAACUGAAACAUCUAAGUACCUGAAGGAAGAGAAAGAAAUUCGAUUCCGUAAGUAGCGGCGAGCGAACGCGGAUUAGCCCAAACCAAUAAAGUUUUCUUUAUUGGGGUUGCGGACAUAUCAUAACGGAGAGGUAUCGUAAUUGAAGAGGUUUGGAAAGACCCACCACAGAAGGUAAUAGUCCUGUAUGUUAAACGAGAAGACUUUAGAUAUGAUCCAGAGUACCACGGGACACGUGAAACCCUGUGGGAAGCAGGAGGGACCACCCUCCAAGGCUAAAUACUACCUAGUGACCGAUAGCGUAUAGUACCGUGAGGGAAAGGUGAAAAGAACCCCGGGAGGGGAG
RNAcentral lists this ribosomal RNA (534 nucleotides) under Clostridioides difficile. RNAcentral describes it as "bacterial LSU rRNA". It matches the Rfam family "Bacterial large subunit ribosomal RNA", at positions 1 to 538 of the family's 2925-position model. Lineage: Bacteria; Bacillati; Bacillota; Clostridia; Peptostreptococcales; Peptostreptococcaceae. The record is from RNAcentral.